ACCCGCUGAACUUAAGCAUAUCAAUAGGCGGAGGAAAAGAAACCAACAGGGAUUGCCUUAGUAACGGCGAGUGAAGCGGCAACAGCUCAAAUUUGAAAUCUGGCCUCUUUGGGGUCCGAGUUGUAAUUUGCAGAGGGCGCUUUGGCGUUGGCAGCGGUCCAAGUUCCUUGGAACAGGACGUCACAGAGGGUGAGAAUCCCGUACGUGGUCGCUAGCCUUCGCCGUGUAAAGCCCCUUCGACGAGUCGAGUUGUUUGGGAAUGCAGCUCUAAAUGGGAGGUAAAUUUCUUCUAAAGCUAAAUACUGGCCAGAGACCGAUAGCGCACAAGUAGAGUGAUCGAAAGAUGAAAAGCACUUUGGAAAGAGAGUCAAACAGCACGUGAAAUUGUUGAAAGGGAAGCGCUUGCAGCCAGACUUGCCUGUAGUUGCUCAUCCGGGCUUUUGCCCGGUGCACUCUUCUGCGGGCAGGCCAGCAUCAGUUUGGGCGGUUGGAUAAAGGUCUCUGUCAUGUACCUCUCUUCGGGGAGGCCUUAUAGGGGAGACGACAUGCAACCAGCCCAGACUGAGGUCCGCGCAUUUGCUAGGAUGCUGGCGUAAUGGCUGU
This 603-nucleotide ribosomal RNA is filed under the name uncultured fungus. RNAcentral describes it as "eukaryotic LSU rRNA". It matches the Rfam family "Eukaryotic large subunit ribosomal RNA", at positions 23 to 641 of the family's 3401-position model. Lineage: Eukaryota; Fungi. The record is from RNAcentral.